RNAcentral lists this ribosomal RNA (305 nucleotides) under uncultured bacterium. RNAcentral describes it as "bacterial SSU rRNA". It matches the Rfam family "Bacterial small subunit ribosomal RNA", at positions 335 to 659 of the family's 1533-position model. The record is from RNAcentral.
GGCCUACGGGGGGCAGCAGUGGGGAAUAUUGCACAAUGGGGGGAACCCUGAUGCAGCGACGCCGCGUGGGUGAAGGAGUACUUCGGUACGUAAAGCCCUAUCAGCAGGAAAGAAAAUGACGGUACCUGAAGAAGAAGCCCCGGCUAACUACGUGCCAGCAGCCGCGGUAAUACGUAGGGGGCUAGCGUUAUCCGGAAUUACUGGGCGUAAAGGGUGCGUAGGUGGUUUCUUAAGUCAGAGGUGAAAGGCUACGGCUCAACCGUAGUAAGCCUUUGAAACUGGGAAACUUGAGUGCUGGAGAGGGG